UACGUAGGGGGCAAGCGUUGUCCGGAAUCAUUGGGCGUAAAGAGCGUGUAGGCGGCUCGGGUAGUCUGGUGUGAAAUCUUUCGGCUCAACCGGAAGCGGUCACUGGAUACUCUCGGGCUUGAGUCCGGAAGAGGAGAGUGGAAUUCCUGGUGUAGCGGUGGAAUGCGCAGAUAUCAGGAGGAACACCAAUGGCGAAGGCAGCUCUCUGGUACGUGACUGACGCUGAGACGCGAAAGCGUGGGGAGCGAACAGG
This 253-nucleotide ribosomal RNA is filed under the name uncultured bacterium. RNAcentral describes it as "partial 16S ribosomal RNA". It matches the Rfam family "Bacterial small subunit ribosomal RNA", at positions 524 to 776 of the family's 1533-position model. The record is from RNAcentral.